CCCUUAGAUGUUCUGGGCCGCACACGCGCUACACUGAAGGAGGCAGCGUGUACUCCUGGAUCGAAAGAUUUGGGUAACCCGCGAAUCUCCUUCGUGCUAGGGAUUGAGGUUUGCAAUUAUCCUUCAUGAACGAGGAAUUCCCAGUAAGUGCAAGUCAUAAGCUUGCGCUGACUAUGUCCCUGCCCUUUGUACACACCGCCCGUCGCUACUACCGAUUGAAUGAUUUAGUGAGGACUUCGGACUGGGACCGAUGCGGCUUUCGGGCUGCGUCGGUAUUCUGGAAAGAUGUCCAAACUGUAUCAUUUAGAGGAAGUAAAAGUCGUANCA
RNAcentral lists this ribosomal RNA (327 nucleotides) under uncultured eukaryote. RNAcentral's name for it is "partial 18S ribosomal RNA". It matches the Rfam family "Eukaryotic small subunit ribosomal RNA", at positions 1470 to 1796 of the family's 1831-position model. The record is from RNAcentral.